This 796-nucleotide ribosomal RNA is filed under the name uncultured Pelagibacteraceae bacterium. RNAcentral's name for it is "bacterial SSU rRNA". It matches the Rfam family "Bacterial small subunit ribosomal RNA", at positions 44 to 888 of the family's 1533-position model. The record is from RNAcentral. Lineage: Bacteria; Pseudomonadati; Pseudomonadota; Alphaproteobacteria; Candidatus Pelagibacterales; Candidatus Pelagibacteraceae.
ACGCCUAACACAUGCAAGUCGAACGCAGUAGCAAUACUGAGUGGCAAACGGGUGAGUAUAAUGUGGGAAUCUGCCUUUUGGUUUGGAAUAACACGGGGAAACUUGUGCUAAUACCGAAUAAGCCCUUACGGGGAAAGUUUUAAUGCCGAAAGAUGAGCCCGCACUUGAUUAGCUAGUUGGUAAGGUAAAAGCUUACCAAGGCAAUGAUCAAUAGCUGUUCUUAGAGGAAGACCAGCCACAUUGGGACUGAGACACGGCCCAGACUCCUACGGGAGGCAGCAGUGGGGAAUCUUGCACAAUGGGGGAAACCCUGAUGCAGCGAUGCCGCGUGAGUGAAGAAGGCCCUUGGGUUGUAAAACUCUUUCGUCGGGGAAGAAAAUGACUGUACCCGAAUAAGAAGGUCCGGCUAACUUCGUGCCAGCAGCCGCGGUAAUACGAAGGGACCUAGCGUAGUUCGGAAUUACUGGGCUUAAAGAGCUCGUAGGUGGUUAAAAAAGUUGAUGGUGAAAUCCCAAGGCUCAACCUUGGAACUGCCAUCAAAACUUUUUAGCUAGAGUGUGAUAGAGGUAAGUGGAAUUUCUAGUGUAGAGGUGAAAUUCGUAGAUAUUAGAAAGAACACCAAAUGCGAAGGCAACUUACUGGGUCACUACUGACACUGAGGAGCGAAAGCAUGGGUAGCGAAGAGGAUUAGAUACCCUCGUAGUCCAUGCCGUAAACGAUGUGUGCUAGACGUUGGAAAUAUAUUUUUCAGUGUCGCAGCGAAAGCAUUAAGCACACCGCCUGGGGAGUACGACCG